UACGGAAGGGGCAAGCGUUGUUCGGAAUCAUUGGGCGUAAAGGGCGCGUAGGUGGUCUUGUAUGUCUACCGUGAAAGCAUACAGCUCAACUGUGUUCCGUCGGUAGAAACUGCAGGACUUGAGGCUGGGAGGGGCUGGUGGAAUUCCCUGUGUAGCGGUGAAAUGCGUAGAGAUGGGGGAGAACACUCGUGGCGAAGGCGGCCAGCUAGACCAGUUCUGACACUGAGGCGCGAUAGCGUGGGGAGCAAACAGG
RNAcentral lists this ribosomal RNA (253 nucleotides) under uncultured bacterium. RNAcentral describes it as "partial 16S ribosomal RNA". It matches the Rfam family "Bacterial small subunit ribosomal RNA", at positions 524 to 776 of the family's 1533-position model. The record is from RNAcentral.